RNAcentral lists this ribosomal RNA (484 nucleotides) under uncultured bacterium. RNAcentral describes it as "partial 16S ribosomal RNA". It matches the Rfam family "Bacterial small subunit ribosomal RNA", at positions 30 to 507 of the family's 1533-position model. The record is from RNAcentral.
AUUGAACGCUGGCGGCAGGCCUAACACAUGCAAGUCGAGCGGAUGAAGGGAGCUUGCUCCUGGAUUCAGCGGCGGACGGGUGAGUAAUGCCUAGGAAUCUGCCUGGUAGUGGGGGAUAACGUCCGGAAACGGGCGCUAAUACCGCAUACGUUCUGCGGGAGAAAGUGGGGGGUCUUCUGACCUCACGCUAUCAGAUGAGGCUAGGUCGGAUUAGCUAGUUGGUGGGGUAAAGGCCUACCAAGGCGACGAUCCGUAACUGGUCUGAGAGGAUGAUCAGUCACACUGGAACUGAGACACGGUGCAGACUCCUACGGGAGGCAGCGGGGGGGAAGAUUGGACAAUGGGCGAAAGCCUGAUCGAGCCAUGCCGCGUGUGUGAAGAAGGUCUUCGGAUUGUAAAGCACUUUAAGUUGGGAGGAAGUGCAGUAAGUGAAUACCUUGUUGUUUUGACGUUACCAACAGAAUAAGCACCGGCUAACUUCGUG